UACGGAGGAUGCGAGCGUUAUCCGGAUUUAUUGGGUUUAAAGGGUGCGUAGGCGGGCUUUUAAGUCAGCGGUAAAAAUUCGGGGCUCAACCCCGUCCGGCCGUUGAAACUGGGGGUCUUGAGUGGGCGAGUAGAAGGCGGAAUGCGUGGUGUAGCGGUGAAAUGCAUAGAUAUCACGCAGAACCCCGAUUGCGAAGGCAGCCUUCCGGCGCCCUACUGACGCUGAGGCACGAAAGUGCGGGGAUCGAACAGG
RNAcentral lists this ribosomal RNA (252 nucleotides) under uncultured bacterium. Its description in RNAcentral is "partial 16S ribosomal RNA". It matches the Rfam family "Bacterial small subunit ribosomal RNA", at positions 524 to 776 of the family's 1533-position model. The record is from RNAcentral.